GAUGAACGCUGGCGGCGUGCUUAACACAUGCCAGUCGAACGAUGAAGCCCAGCUUGCUGGGUGGAUUAGUGGCGAACGGGUGAGUAACACGUGAGUAACCUGCCCUUAACUCUGGGAUAAGCCUGGGAAACUGGGUCUAAUACCGGAUAGGAGCGUCCACCGCAUGGUGGGUGUUGGAAAGAUUUAUCGGUUUUGGAUGGACUCGCGGCCUAUCAGCUUGUUUGUGAGGUAAUGGCUCACCAAGGCGACGACGGGUAGCCGGCCUGAGAGGGUGACCGGCCACACUGGGACUGAGACACGGCCCAGACUCCUACGGGAGGCAGCAGUGGGGAAUAUUGCACAAUGGGCGCAAGCCUGAUGCAGCGACGCCGCGUGAGGGAUGACGGCCUUCGGGUUGUAAACCUCUUUCAGUAGGGAAGAAGCGAAAGUGACGGUACCUGCAGAAGAAGCACCGGCUAACUACGUG
This 466-nucleotide ribosomal RNA is filed under the name uncultured bacterium. RNAcentral's name for it is "partial 16S ribosomal RNA". It matches the Rfam family "Bacterial small subunit ribosomal RNA", at positions 28 to 507 of the family's 1533-position model. The record is from RNAcentral.